CUUCAUGGGAGACCUUCAAAAAGUGGGUGGGCACUUUUGUGCUCUACAGCACCAGUGUACUCUUCAUAUUAACACAGCAUGAAAGAAGCUAACACCAACCAGCAGCAGUUUAGGUGCUUUUAAUGUCAGGCUUGUUAGUUUGUGGUUUAAGUGCAAAUUUCAUUUCAUAACUUUUGUUAACUUAUUUAAAGCUGAAUGAAAAGCUGAUGACUUUCCCUGCUGGCUUCACUCUAUCUCUCAACUCUUGCAGCCUCAGUGAGCUGAGCAUCGCUACACAUGAAUCAGGUUUCCUCCUCCUGUAGUAUCACCAGGUGCAGAUGCUGGAUCUGGAUCUGACAUCAGGGUGAAAUCCUCUCUGGGGAAGCAGCUGAACCGUGACUGCACUGACAGCCAGCAAGCUAGCCAAUAAGAUAUACUUUCAAAUGUCUACCCGAGGUCACACUAUAAGCUGCGUGAGCUUUGGCUCUGUCCAUGUUGUGCUGUCUUACCUGGUCGUACUCUGUCCUGCCUCCCUGUGGCGACAUGGCCAGAGGGUAGGGGCUCAUCAGACCCCUGUGCCCCCCGUAGGCCUCGCCAAAUGCAGGCUCCAUCCCAUUCAUACCCGGCUGGAAAGGAGAAGAAGCAGAAGGAGGAGAUUUUCAGUGGAGAACCCUGACCUCUCACCCCAGUCGUUUCAUGCUUGGCUGCAGGUCACUGCAGUGCAUGCUGAUGGGAACUCUCUGAUGAAGCCAAUAGAACCACAUCUACUGCAAACUGAAGAAAUGCUUGUCUGAGCUUCAAAAAGCAGAUGCCCUCCUCAGCCUGGCUACGCUUUGAGACGCUGUCCAUAAACGUCAAAAACAGGAUCAGAGACAAGCGGUAACUCAACAUCCAUUAAAAACAUGGUGUACUUUAUACCAAGGAUGCAGACACAGCUCUCACUCCAUUCUUGUCAGCUUUCUCUGUGCCUAUAAAGCACCAGUAGACUGGAUGGUCAGAUUCUCUUCUAUUCCCUUCAGAAGUCCUGCAAGGGUGAAGAUCUGGGCACCUGUUUUAGAACCAGGCUGGAAUCUGCAUUGCUUGUCCUAAAUCUGAGGUUCCACCAUUAGCUGGGGCCUCCUUUCCAGCACCCUAAAAGAAAUUUUGCCGGGAGCCUGAGCAGUACGAUAACUGGUGCACUCACUCAGGAUCUCCUUUUUGAAAAUUGCAAUCACCACUCCAGUCUGCCACUCCACAGGCACAAUGCCAGAUUACAACCUAACAUUAAAGAGGUGUGUCAACUAAAACAUUUCCAUGUCUAGAGGCUUUAGCAUCUGAGGGCAAAUCUCAUCCGAACCUGGUGCUUCCUGUCAUAGCUCUUCUCAUCUACCCUGUCAGUGACAUCUGCCAGUUGUGGCCAAUAUGGCCCUCCUCCAUCUGUUCAGGCUCCUUUUAACAUUUCUCCUAUAAAGACAUUAAUUAAUAAGUUCUCUAGUUCAACAGCUCUUCAGUUUUCUUUGUUGUUGUUGUUUUUUUUUAGCAAUGCACUUUCUUUUGAUAGAUUUAGGUGAGUGUCUAUAAAUCACGCAUGCUUAUCUUACUGUUCUGUUGUGACAAUCUUGCAUGAGAGAGUCAACCUUGUCCUUGAUUACCAAGGUAACCUAAACUAGCUCAGCCCCACAGCAUAGACCUCCUACCUUUUAGAGAUAGUGGAAAAUAUCAACAGAGAUGCUGCAAAAAGGUCAACACCAGGGACGUUCAAUGAUAUUUUUAUUCUUAGCGCAAAUACACAGCGAUACAGUAGAUCUACAAUUCUGCUACAACUUCCCACCAGUGUUCUUGGUAUUCACAGAAUUUUUUUUUUUAAAAAGUCACAUUUUAAAAAUGAAUCAGUCUGUUUCUUAUUAUGUCCUAUCAAUAAGAUUAAAAUUCUAUAAGAGAAAAAGGAUAAGUUUAAUUUGCAAAACAUUGAGCAAAACAUUCAGUACUUACUUGGCGUAUGAUCUCACUUGAAAUAUCAUUAAAAUCACAUUCCUAACAAUGUGCAAAUCCAAAAAAACCUGACUGUAUGGGCAUGGGCAUGGAAUUUCUUUGGUUAGUGCUAGUUUGGGAUGGGACUUUUGUAUCCUUUGAAUGCUUGGUUAGAUCAUGACGUGGCAAAUUUAGAAGCUGGGGCAUCACUUUGGGCUCUUUGUAUUUUGGAAUCAUUCGUGAACAGUUUUGCAUGGGGGUGUGGCUUAGUGUGCAACAAAGUGUUGUCAGUUUAACGAUUUCUUCAACUUUGCCUGUCAGUGUUUGUAUGUUUGACCAGCCAGUUCAUGCCUGUAUAUUCUCAGCGUGUCUGCAAACGUUUCUUCCACAACUGAAAGCCGACGCUCGGAUGGAACAUAAAUAACUUGAAGAGUGCGAUUGUAUCCUAUGAGACAUAGUUCUUUAUUAAGUAUUUCACAUACAGUGCCACUCACAUACAAGCAUUUACUUCACAGUAAUACAAGGUUACAUACAGGGUCUCAAAUCCAUAAACAAUCCGAUUUGUGAUUUAUUGAAUGUUUGUUACCAUGGUGACUCUUAACACACUUAAAAAAAAAUAAAUCUAUCCUCGUCUAUGCUGCCAGGAACAUUUAACAAAUGAACAGUAGCCAGUUAUCAAAAAUGAAAAGAAAAAAAAGUCACGAGAAAAAGAAAUUGAAAAUUUGAAUGUUUUUCUUGAGCAUUCAUACUCUGCACAUUUUACACGGGUUAUCUGACGUCUCAGCGCUUCCCUCCUUUAGGUCGAUUAGCUUGGAUAUGGGAGAAUAAUGACGUUUGGUGUCCAGUGACGGACUGACUCUGCAGGCAAACUGUGGUUUGUUUUAUGAUGAGUGGGAUUGAUACUGUAAUGUAAUGGCUUUGUUUCCUAUGGUAAUCCUAACCAAAGGAAACAAACCCAAAACAAAACUGUACGGUCAGAACGUCUAACAGAAUUCAGAUGUCAGGACAAAACCAGAGACAUUCAACUGGCACAAAGACAAAACAGUGCCAAAGUCACAAGACAUGGUUGUUUUGACAAAAGACUGCAUAUAAAAGAUGGAGGCGGUUUAGGUCUGAAAGUAAAGCCAGCGUAGAAAUGCCUUGAACCUGCAUUCUUUCAUCUUGUAAGUUUAUGGUGUCAAUUAGUAGUUUCAAGCUUUUAAAAAAGUACAGCAUGUUCACCUUGCAAAUUAUAGUCCAAUUUAGAGUGAAAUAGAUGAAAAGGCUGACUAAGCUGCACAGCAUGGACACCUUUUCAUUGGCUAGGGGUUAUUUUUUUGCGUAUUUAAAAAAAAGUGUAUGGGCUCAGUCACUCAU
Molecule: long non-coding RNA, 3285 nt
Organism: Neolamprologus brichardi
Lineage: Eukaryota; Metazoa; Chordata; Actinopteri; Cichliformes; Cichlidae
Source: RefSeq, a predicted model, not a curated record